RNAcentral lists this ribosomal RNA (468 nucleotides) under uncultured bacterium. Its description in RNAcentral is "partial 16S ribosomal RNA". It matches the Rfam family "Bacterial small subunit ribosomal RNA", at positions 28 to 507 of the family's 1533-position model. The record is from RNAcentral.
GACGAACGCUGGCGGCGUGCUUAACACAUGCAAGUCGAACGGAAAGGCCCUGCUUUUGUUGGGUGCUCGAGUGGCGAACGGGUGAGUAACACGUGAGUAACCUGCCCUUGACUUUGGGAUAACUUCAGGAAACUGGGGCUAAUACCGGAUAGGAGCUCCUGCUGCAUGGUGGGGGUUGGAAAGUUUCGGCGGUUGGGGAUGGACUCGCGGCUUAUCAGCUUGUUGGUGGGGUAGUGGCUUACCAAGGCUUUGACGGGUAGCCGGCCUGAGAGGGUGACCGGCCACAUUGGGACUGAGGUACGGACCAGACUCCUACGGGAGGCAGCAGUGGGGAAUAUUGCACAAUGGGCGGAAGCCUGAGGCAGCAACGCCGCGUGCGGGAUGACGGCCUUCGGGUUGUAAACCGCUUUCGCCUGUGACGAAGCGUGAGUGACGGUAAUGGGUAAAGAAGCACCGGCUAACUACGUG